CUGCCCCUAAGUUCUGAUGGACGGGCGGGAUCAGGAGCAUUCCUGCCCCCUGGGCUCUGAGGGGCGCGCGGGUUGCUCGACGUGAGGAGCCGGCAAAGAAUAUCAGGCUCAUGUGGUGGAGGUGAUCAAAGGGGAAGAAAUCUCUGUUUCCGGCCUUUAAAGGAAGAUGGGCUUAUAAACUAAGUGCCCUGUUCUGUGUCUGCUCCUCAUUUUCAUGGCUGUAAGAUUGGAAAAAACCUCCAAGAUCAGUUCCAGCUAGGUUUAAGCUUUCAAGUUCUAAGAUUUCAUCAAUUUUAAGAAGCAACCAAAUCCCAUAGAAGUUGUGCGAACGGCACAGUGCUCUCAACACACACCACCGCAGAGGGAGACCCCUACAACUAAUGCACAAACUUUCUCUACAACAAACCCGGAGGAUAAGUUACUCUUGACAAAUUGUUCUUGACCUGUAAUGUCACAAAGUGUACUCUGGGAAUGACUUUAUGGAUAAGAGACUGAGUUAUCAAACCAUUUACAAGGAAAAUGUAGCUUUUAUUUACAGAGCAUUUGCUAUACACAUGUAAAAAACAUGCUGGUGCAAUUCUACCAAAAUUCUCUUCUAAGCAUUUUCCUCAUCUAAAGGAAAACAUGAGUGUUGACGCUAUUACCAGAUCAGUGCAAUAUGUGCAGGUAUAAAGUAUAAUUAAGUUUUCAUGUUUUGUUAACUGUCUCCUCUCAUAGACCAAACUGGUAUAUCAGCUGGCAGAACUGCACUGUUACCAAUGCAGCACUUCCAAUUCACAUCAGCAGAUGAGCUGGCUUUGUCCUUCUCUUUCAGGUAUUGGCAUAGCUUCUUUAGGAUCUUUAUUUGCCCUAAUUAGACAAAAUCUGUAUGUCACAAGAAGUAUUGGCAAAAAAAAAAAAGUCUGGAUUGUUUUGUCUUCCCUCCAGUAUUAAAAAAGAAAAAUAGACCAGCUGUUCUUUUCCAAUUAAACACUAGAGAACGAAUUACUGUUCAUCGGUGCAGUGAGUACCAGCAAAAAGCCCCACUGGACAUUGAAGUUUCCCUGAAAGAAAACAACAAGGCAAUGGCAUUCUUUCAGCAGGAAUGUAGCGGAGGCAGGAUUUACCCCCAGAUGUCCUUUAUAAACAGUGUGACCCAAGGCAGAACACAGCCUUUCAGCACUGGAAAAGUCAAUUUCUCUAGAACAAGGUGCUAGUUGUAACACUUGUUUUACUAAAUUGAGGAAUGUCAGCUCAUUUGCUGAUACCUGGGCUUAGGGUCUGGGGUGUCUUUUUCUUCUAAAGUGAACAUGCAGGAAUUAAUCUUCAAAGAGAUCUGUAGAAGUAGGGAGGGAAGAAGAAAUUUGAUGAAAAUGAAUUCAUAGAAGAUCUGAAGCUGAAGAUUUAUGUUCAAGUUUGGCAUUCCCCAAAAUGGUUCUAACAAGUGUACUGAGGUGAUUAUUAUAACCCUCUGCUGCAGUGCUUCAGGAUCUGCAGUGGAGAAAAGAUCUGCAAAAUUAACCGUAGUUAAUCUAAAUUUUCAUAGGACUGUUCAUAAGCCUGACCAUCUUCAGGAAUAGCAUUUGGAGACAGGAUAGUUGAUUUUAUCCAGGAAAUACAAUAUGGUCACCUGGAAUUUACUUUUAUGACCUUUUUUUUUUUUUUUUAAUUGUUUAAGGGCAGUUGCUUAUUCAGGAAUUACUUCCUUAUAAUUUUUUCUGUGUAGCAGCAACUGAGACAAGGAAAAGUUUUGUGUUUUUUAAUUUAGUUAUUAAUCUUUGGAUUUCUCCACACUUAAUUGUGGUCUUAUAUUAGCACGUGCUCUGUUUUCACAAUUUAAAUUGGUAUUGCUUUCUAAUUUAAUUUCUAGCUAGAGGGGGAAAUGCUUCCAUUAACAGAAAGGCAUUUGAAGUGAGCCUGGAAUUUGCUUUUUUCCUUGAAGUUUUCUUUUUAAGUAUUUAUUUAUUUUCCUUAAAUGACGAGAGUUUCUGUAUACAUGGCACUUCCUUUUGAGUGGUAGCUACCAUGUGAAAGAGUUGUCACUCUUGUCAUGUAAAAACAAGCUCCACAGAGCUCUCCUUUGCAGAAAGCUGCAACAGCAUCUGGGUGCUGCUUCCUAUCCUGACAAAUGCUUUGGAUAGUGAUGUGGAGGUAAAUCCACGCAAAAUGUUACGGCUGCUAAAUUUAAUCUUCAGCUUUUGUCCUUCUUUGCCUUAUUUUCCCCUGAAGUGCAGUGUGCUCUGGCUGUUACCUGGGAACAAUGACUGUUCAUUUCAGUUAAUAGAAAAGAAAUCCUAGAGCAGUUGCUCACAUGGAGGAAUAGUUUUAUAAAGCAUUUGGAUACUUUUGACUGCAGCACAUUUUGCUCUGUCCUGCUCUUGCUCAGCCCUGCAUCUCUCUUAGUAGUCGCUUGCUGUUUCCUUCUGCCCCCCAUGUCUCUUCCUGCAGGCACACUGCAUGCUGCCCCAAGGCUUGUGUUCUCCAGGGAAGCACGAAGUCCUUAACAACUAUUUUCCCACUGCUGUGUAUCACCAACCUUUUGGAAAAGCAUUCUCUAUGCUGGAAAUUGUGGAAGGGGCUGACAGCUGGUCUGUGAGCCAGAGGAGCGAAAAAGAAUUUAAGAGUGAAGAAGAGGACAGAAAAAGAAUUUAAUAAGAUUUGUGUUUACCCAGGAAGGAAAAAAGAAGACAAGGUCAUUCACAUGGGAACCAAGAGAACAGAGAUAAACACCAGACACCUGCAGUUGGAAAAACAAAACUACUAUGUGUUUCUAAAAUUCUUGUAGAAAGCCUGCCUAAAAACGGUGACUUCGUACCAAUGAACAGGAUGAGCUGUGUAAUUGUAAACAAUGAAUGAAGUGGACGCUGUGUUAAAGAAUGUAAAAGAAGCGAAUUCACAGCCCUAAUAAAAAGGCCAUUUUACCUGUUGCUA
Catharus ustulatus (Swainson's thrush) is the source of this 2910-nucleotide long non-coding RNA. RefSeq lists it as uncharacterized. The record is from RefSeq and is a predicted model, not a curated record. Lineage: Eukaryota; Metazoa; Chordata; Aves; Passeriformes; Turdidae. The transcript is spliced from 2 exons.